UACAGAGGUCCCAAGCGUUGUUCGGAUUCACUGGGCGUAAAGGGUGCGUAGGUGGUGAGGUAAGUCGGAUGUGAAAGCUCGGAGCUCAACUCCGAAAUGGCAUUGGAAACUACCUCGCUAGAGGAUCGGAGGGGAGACUGGAAUUCUCGGUGUAGCAGUGAAAUGCGUAGAUAUCGAGAGGAACACCAGUGGCGAAGGCGAGUCUCUGGACGAUUCCUGACGCUGAGGCACGAAAGCCAGGGGAGCAAACGGG
This 253-nucleotide ribosomal RNA is filed under the name uncultured bacterium. Its description in RNAcentral is "partial 16S ribosomal RNA". It matches the Rfam family "Bacterial small subunit ribosomal RNA", at positions 524 to 776 of the family's 1533-position model. The record is from RNAcentral.